Molecule: long non-coding RNA, 637 nt
Organism: Heterocephalus glaber (naked mole-rat)
Lineage: Eukaryota; Metazoa; Chordata; Mammalia; Rodentia; Bathyergidae
Source: Ensembl
ACAGAACUCAGCCCAUAGCACACAUUCAUCUCAACUAGAGGCCUAUUUUAAUUCUCUGUGCGUAGCCCAUGUUUUCUACUCUGCAUGACAAUGUACUCAAAAUCCAAACUGAGAACUUUGUUUCUGUGGUCUCUAUAGAGGAGGAACAAAAGCAGUCACAAUGAGAUCACUGCAGUCACACAGGCGCGGCAUGGAAAGGCAGAAGCCAUUACAUUGCAGGAUACUCUCAAAUGUUCAGCUACACAGUAUUGAUUCUUGUUUUCCCGGGGAACUUGGAGGACUCAGAACAUGCAGAGGCCCAAACCGCGAAGGCUGCCAGCCAGAGUGGCACUGUGGCACAGUGUCCUGGAGCCGUGCUGUUCAUCUGCGAAGUGCAGGGGCAGGGUGUGAAAUGCUCACUGAGGUCUGAGAAACACAGCAGUGUUGGGGAUCCAAUCCAUGACCUCACACACGAUUGGAAGAUCUUUACCACUGAACUACAUUUCCAGCCCUAAAUAGAUUCUUACAGCGUGCAUGACUUUAUUUUUAUUAACUUUUGUUCUGGCCUUGGAGCAGUUGGGGUGAUUCUUUUUGCCUUUUAAAAAAAUUUGCUCAUGUACUUUUGAAAGCCAUUUCAAAUUCCUUUUAGAUCUAGGUG